CCUGGACUUUUCAAUUCCUUGAACUAAUACAUUCCCUCUUCUUGCUGAAGUCACGCCCUUUAGGUACGGUGCUGAGUACCCAUGAACCUUAUCUCUGAUCACCACUGCAACUCACUCUUAUGGCAUGGAUCAGCAAGCAGGGCUCAGAGAAGAGCCAAAUCAAUGGUACUCAUGCUACGAACAGGAGCUAUGGUAUUUUUACCAAAUCUGGAGACAGUGAUCUUCACUUUGAAAAACAGGUUCUGAGAAGCCCCUCAGAAGUGAGAAAGGCUGUAACCUAACCUCGAAAUUUAUUAGCAGAAGCAGGUAAGGACACUAACAGACACACAGGAG
This 333-nucleotide long non-coding RNA is filed under the name Homo sapiens (human). RNAcentral's name for it is "HSALNT0223916". Lineage: Eukaryota; Metazoa; Chordata; Mammalia; Primates; Hominidae. The record is from RNAcentral.